This 160-nucleotide ribosomal RNA is filed under the name Caryophanales bacterium S4S264. RNAcentral's name for it is "partial 16S rRNA". It matches the Rfam family "Bacterial small subunit ribosomal RNA", at positions 355 to 507 of the family's 1533-position model. Lineage: Bacteria; Bacillati; Bacillota; Bacilli; Caryophanales. RNAcentral also lists the same sequence under 2 other names. The record is from RNAcentral.
UAGGGAAUCUUCCGCAAUGGACGAAAGUCUGACGGAGCAACGCCGCGUGAGUGAUGAAGGUUUUCGGAUCGUAAAGCUCUGUUGUUAGGGAAGAACAAGUGCGAGAGUAACUGCUCGCACCUUGACGGUACCUAACCAGAAAGCCACGGCUAACUACGUG